CGUUUGUUUUCUCUUAUUUUUUUAGUGUAAAUUGACAUUGCGAUAAGACGUGUCACGGUACUUGUCUAUCCCAAAUUCAUGUAUUUGGUUUUGAUGUUAUAUUUGUUAUUCUCGUGGGAUUUUGUCUGAUGCUUGGUCCGUUUCUGUGUGUGUUAGUUACAUUGUAGUGUUGUGUCGUUGUUCUCCUCUUAUAUUUAUGCGUUUCCGUCAGUUUUAGUUUGUUACCCCGAUUUUGUUUUUUGUCCAUG
This 248-nucleotide long non-coding RNA is filed under the name Mytilus galloprovincialis (Mediterranean mussel). Lineage: Eukaryota; Metazoa; Mollusca; Bivalvia; Mytilida; Mytilidae. The record is from RNAcentral.